CACGUGGGUAACCUGCCUGUAAGACUGGGAUAACUCCGGGAAACCGGGGCUAAUACCGGAUGGUUGUCUGAACCGCAUGGUUCAGACAUAAAAGGUGGCUUCGGCUACCACUUACAGAUGGACCCGCGGCGCAUUAGCUAGUUGGUGAGGUAACGGCUCACCAAGGCGACGAUGCGUAGCCGACCUGAGAGGGUGAUCGGCCACACUGGGACUGAGACACGGCCCAGACUCCUACGGGAGGCAGCAGUAGGGAAUCUUCCGCAAUGGACGAAAGUCUGACGGAGCAACGCCGCGUGAGUGAUGAAGGUUUUCGGAUCGUAAAGCUCUGUUGUUAGGGAAGAACAAGUGCCGUUCAAAUAGGGCGGCACCUUGACGGUACCUAACCAGAAAGCCACGGCUAACUACGUGCCAGCAGCCGCGGUAAUACGUAGGUGGCAAGCGUUGUCCGGAAUUAUUGGGCGUAAAGGGCUCGCAGGCGGUUUCUUAAGUCUGAUGUGAAAGCCCCCGGCUCAACCGGGGAGGGUCAUUGGAAACUGGGGAACUUGAGUGCAGAAGAGGAGAGUGGAAUUCCACGUGUAGCGGUGAAAUGCGUAGAGAUGUGGAGGAACACCAGUGGCGAAGGCGACUCUCUGGUCUGUAACUGACGCUGAGGAGCGAAAGCGUGGGGAGCGAACAGGAUUAGAUACCCUGGUAGUCCACGCCGUAAACGAUGAGUGCUAAGUGUUAGGGGGUUUCCGCCCCUUAGUGCUGCAGCUAACGCAUUAAGCACUCCGCCUGGGGAGUACGGUCGCAAGACUGAAACUCAAAGGAAUUGACGGGGG
RNAcentral lists this ribosomal RNA (821 nucleotides) under Bacillus amyloliquefaciens. RNAcentral describes it as "bacterial SSU rRNA". It matches the Rfam family "Bacterial small subunit ribosomal RNA", at positions 114 to 919 of the family's 1533-position model. The record is from RNAcentral. Lineage: Bacteria; Bacillati; Bacillota; Bacilli; Caryophanales; Bacillaceae.